CACCUGGCUGUCCCUGGGCACUUGCUGAAAUAAAGACCUGAGCUCUGGAUCUGUGCCCUUUCUAGCACUGCUGCUGUUCAUGAAGAUUUGAAAGACUGGGUGGAAACAGAAGGGGAAAACCAGUCUCUAAGAGGACCUUGAUUAAGAGAGAGAGAGAGAG
This is a long non-coding RNA of Varanus komodoensis (Komodo dragon), 160 nucleotides long. RefSeq lists it as uncharacterized. The record is from RefSeq and is a predicted model, not a curated record. The transcript has 3 exons. NCBI's taxonomy places the organism in Eukaryota, Metazoa, Chordata, Lepidosauria, Squamata, Varanidae.